RNAcentral lists this ribosomal RNA (476 nucleotides) under uncultured bacterium. RNAcentral's name for it is "bacterial SSU rRNA". It matches the Rfam family "Bacterial small subunit ribosomal RNA", at positions 29 to 476 of the family's 1533-position model. The record is from RNAcentral.
AACGAACGUUAGCGGCGCGCCUAACACAUGCAAGUCGAGCGAGAAAGGGCUUCGGCCCCGGUAAAGCGGCGCACGGGUGAGUAACACGUGGGUAACCUGCCCUCGGGUUGGGGAUAACAUUCCGAAAGGAGUGCUAAUACCGAAUAAGACCACGACCUCGAAAGAGGAUGCGGUCAAAGCUGGCCUCUAUACAUAAGCUAGCGCCUGAGGAUGGGCCCGCGGCGCAUCAUGGUAGUUGGUGAGGUAACGGCUCACCAAGCCGAAGACGCGUAGCUGGUCUGAGAGGAUGAUCAGCCACACUGGGACUGAGACACGGUCCAGACUCCUACGGGAGGCAGCAGUGGGGAAUCUUGCGCAAUGGGCGAAAGCCUGACGCAGCGACGCCGCGUGAGUGAUGAAGGCCUCGGUUGUAAGUACGUCUGUGGAGGAGACGAAGUAAGUAGUCGGGCGUAAGUAACUACCGCACUGAUGACGGU